This 91-nucleotide small nucleolar RNA is filed under the name Sorghum bicolor (sorghum). RNAcentral's name for it is "snoRNA snoR44_J54". It matches the Rfam family "Small nucleolar RNA R44/J54/Z268 family". Rfam says of the family: R44, J54 and Z268 are members of the C/D class of snoRNA which contain the C (UGAUGA) and D (CUGA) box motifs. Lineage: Eukaryota; Viridiplantae; Streptophyta; Magnoliopsida; Poales; Poaceae. The record is from Rfam by way of RNAcentral.
GGAGCAGGUGAUGAGAACAAGACAGGGACAUCAGAACCCUUUUUCUGGGCAUGAUAGACUAAGUCUUCAAUGGGAAUCUCUCUGAUGCUUU